This 406-nucleotide ribosomal RNA is filed under the name uncultured bacterium. RNAcentral's name for it is "partial 16S ribosomal RNA". It matches the Rfam family "Bacterial small subunit ribosomal RNA", at positions 30 to 526 of the family's 1533-position model. The record is from RNAcentral.
AUUGAACGCUGGCGGCAGGCUUAACACAUGCAAGUCGAGCGAGUGGCGGACGGGUGAGUAAUGUCUGGGAAACUGCCUGAUGGAGGGGGAUAACUACUGGAAACGGUAGCUAAUACCGCAUACCAUCAGAUGUGCCCAGAUGGGCUUAGCUUGUGGGUGGGGUAAAGGCUCACCCAGGCGACGCUCCCUAGCUGGUCUGAGAGGAUGACCAGCCACACUGGAACUGGGGCACGGUCCAGACUCCUACGGGAGGCAGCAGUGGGGAAUAUUGCACAAUGGGCGCAAGCCUGAUGCAGCCAUGCCGCGAGUAUGAAGAAGGCCUUCGGGUUGUAAAGCACUUUCAGCGAGGAGGCGUUACUCGCAGAAGAAGCACCGGCUAACUCCGUGCCAGCAGCCGCGGUAAUUC